GACGAACGCUGGCGGCGUGCUUAACACAUGCAAGUCGAGCGGUAAGGCCCUUCGGGUACGACGAGCGGCGAACGGGUGAGUAACACGUGGGUGACCUGCCUCUAGCUCUGGGAUAAGCCUGGGAAACUGGGUCUAAUACCGGAUAUGACUCCACGGCGCAUGUUGUGGGGUGGAAAGCCUUGUGUGGCUAGAGAUGGGCCCGCGGCCUAUCAGCUUGUUGGUGGGGUGAUGGCCUACCAAGGCGACGACGGGUAGCCGGCCUGAGAGGCGACCGGCCACACUGGGACUGAGACACGGCCCAGACUCCUACGGGAGGCAGCAGUGGGGAAUCUUGCGCAAUGGGCGAAAGCCUGACGCAGCGACGCCGCGU
Molecule: ribosomal RNA, 370 nt
Filed under: uncultured bacterium
Lineage: Bacteria
Description: bacterial SSU rRNA
Rfam family: Bacterial small subunit ribosomal RNA
Source: RNAcentral